AACGCACAUUGCACCUUUCGGUAUUCCGGAGGGUAUACCUGUUUGAGCGUCAUUUCACUCUUAAAACAAUGUAUUUUGUUUUAGUCUUGAGUUUUUAUAUUUUUCAUUUAUUUGAAAAAUAUUAACUUGAAAUGAAUUUGGCAGAAGUGAAUUUUUCAAUUUCUCUAUUUGACAACGUAAUAGGUUUUACCAACUCGUUGACUUUUAAAGAAUAAAGAUUGAAUUAUUAACAGCUUCGGCGUUUAUAACCAAAACUUAUUUAAAAGUUUGACCUCAAAUCAAGUAAGAUUACCCGCUGAACUUAA
Molecule: ribosomal RNA, 305 nt
Filed under: uncultured fungus
Lineage: Eukaryota; Fungi
Description: eukaryotic LSU rRNA
Source: RNAcentral